Molecule: long non-coding RNA, 1593 nt
Filed under: Cinara cedri
Lineage: Eukaryota; Metazoa; Arthropoda; Insecta; Hemiptera; Aphididae
Source: RNAcentral
CGCGGUGGCGGCGUCGGCCAACAUUCUUAUCAUUAUUAUUACUACUAUUAUUACCAUUACUAUUAUUAUUAUUAUUAUUAUUAUUAUUAUUAUUAUCGCCGUCGGCUAACGAUCCGCGGCGGUGGCGGCUACGACGAGGGACGUCGUUUUUUAACGACGCGCACGAUGAUUUUUUUUUAUUUUUAUUAUUAUUAUUGUUGUUACUAUUUUUUAAUUUUGUUUUUUUUUUUUUUGUUUUGUAAAGAAUUCGCCCGGCCGAAACCGAAUCGAAUGACUCUACACAGAGACUCGGUAUUCGGCGGCGAUGACGUUCCCGUUUUUCUUUUUUCUGUUUUCUUUCUUUUUUUUUUUUUUUAUUACUAUUAUCUUUUGCCGUCAACAACGUCUUCGGUGAGGAGGGGACGAGAUACGGAGAAUCCCACGAAGAAAUCGGUUUUCCGUACGAUUGCACGUUUUCUAUAUAGAAACAGGUACACGCGAUGGGAACUAACCACCGCGGGUACGAUGUUUUUCUAUACAGGUACUUAAUAGUUAAUAAUAAUUGUUUUCGACGCGCGUUUUUUAUCCGUUGAUACCUAUAGAUUUGUAUUGGUAUUACGCAAACGCGUAUUGUUUCACCUCGACUUUCUCGCGCGCGGUUCUUCUUUACGGGUUUUUUUUUUAAAUUUUUUAUGUCAACUCACGUAUAAUAAUAAAACACUACAAAAUCCCGCGACUUCGUACGAUUUCCCGCUUAUUAUUCGGGAAUAGUAAUUUAAUGACGACGGACGCGCGUAAAAUUACCCGAACAAUACUAUUAUUUUUACGGACCUACACUUAAAGUAAUUUCUUCGGUCCCGUGGUAAAGAAACGCGUAAGUCUCGAUUUUGUACGUUUGGUUUUCGAUACAAAUGCGAAUUAUACUUUGACAAUCGUUAAAUCGCUAAACAGCCGUCGUCUGAAUUGCCGUUCUAAUUGUGUGGCUAUUGUGCGUGUUUUUACGAAACAAAAAGUUCAUCGUAGUGACUCGAGGUAUUUUUAUGUUCAGUAAAACGUGUACUACGUAGAACAUGGUAUACGCAAUAAACGCUCGUGCCGUUUGGACCGAAAUAACACGGGGAAAAAAUUGCACGGGAAAUAAACGAAACGCAAAAUUCGCUUGCGCCCGUCUUCCGCGGGACCAAACGUUUGGUUGAAAUUGUUGUUCAAGUAAUGAAAAUAUUAAAAAAAAGUAGUACCGUUCUUUUAUAAAAAAAAAAAAAAAAAUGUAUAAUAGGUCCUAACCGGAGAGUCGCGGCAAUCGUAAAAAUGCGGAAUGACGGCUUUGUUGCCGCAUAUAAUUACGCCGCGACAAAGACGAACAAACGUUACAGCGACGAGGCCCUUUAAAAUGUGUUUUACGGUUUAAUUGCAGUUGUUGUAUAAGUUUAUAACACACCUUGUGUUGCGUAUGUUUAAGGGGUCGCGUGUAAGCAAUUUUUAACGAAAACUCGACGUUUCGUAAUAUUUCACGCCGUGCGAACGCGUCGUUGGUGGGGAAGGGAGGGAGAGCCGUAUUUUCUUUGAAGCGAAUAAUUUUCAACAUUCCCGACGGUUUGUCUAAAAAAUGACGAU